Molecule: long non-coding RNA, 406 nt
Filed under: Elaeis guineensis (African oil palm)
Lineage: Eukaryota; Viridiplantae; Streptophyta; Magnoliopsida; Arecales; Arecaceae
Description: long non-coding RNA (EGUI_LNC079107)
Source: RNAcentral
GGGAUAUUCCGAAGCGGCAGUGCAGAAGGCGUCUGCAGUCGAUCGAUGGCGCCUUUGCCAGCUUUUUUUCUAUGAAGUUCGGUCUCCCGGGAGGGGUAGCGGGGGGGGUUUUCUUCGAACUUCAUGUUGAGUAAUUAAUGUUUGUGAAAAUGUUGGUAGUCCUCCAAGGGGCACCAUGGAUGGUGACUCGAGAAAGCAGGAAAGGCUUUGGAUGGAUGGUGUAGCUGCACAAGACUUUGGAAUGAAGUAGGAGGAUUCAUGGCAUGAUCAGCGAUAUCGUGUGGGUGCGGAGGUGAACUUUGAGGUGGUGGGCCCAAUAACCCCGCAGCACUUGAGGGCUGACGUCGUGUUGUAAAUAUGGGUCGCCGUCCUAGGAGAACGGCAUUGGCUCCUGUGGCUAUGGAGC